This 372-nucleotide unclassified non-coding RNA is filed under the name uncultured bacterium. RNAcentral's name for it is "contains 16S-23S intergenic spacer region". The record is from RNAcentral.
UCCGGUUUGUCACCGGCAGUCUGGCGUGAGUCCCAAACUUAAUGAUGGCAACACGCCACGGGGGUUGCGCUCGUUGCGGGACUUAACCCAACAUCUCACGACACGAGCUGACGACAACCAUGCACCACCUGUGCACGACCCUUACGGACCCCACAUCUCUGCGGGAUUUCCGUGCAUGUCAAGCCUAGGUAAGGUUCUUCGCGUUGCAUCGAAUUAAGCAACAUGCUCCACCGCUUGUGCGGGUCCCCGUCAAUUCCUUUGAGUUUUAACCUUGCGGCCGUACUCCCCAGGCGGUCAACUUCACGCGUUAGCUUCGUUACCAAGGAAUUGCUUCCCCGACAACCAGUUGACAUAGUUUAGGGCGUGGACUGC